GGGGAAUGUUGGACAAUGGGCGCAAGCCUGAUCCAGCAAUGCCGCGUGAGUGAAGAAGGCCUUAGGGUUGUAAAGCUCUUUCGCCUGCGACGAUGAUGACGGUAGCAGGAGAAGAAGCCCCGGCUAAUUCCGUGCCAGCAGCCGCGGUAAUACGGAAGGGGCUAGCGUUGUUCGGAAUCACUGGGCGUAAAGCGCGCGUAGGCGGCUUGGCAAGUGAGGCGUGAAAGUCCUGGGCUCAACCUGGGGACGGCGCUUCAGACUGCUGGGCUUGAGUCCGGAAGAGGGUGGUGGAAUUCCGAGUGUAGAGGUGAAAUUCGUAGAUAUUCGGAGGAACACCGGCGGCGAAGGCGGCCACCUGGUCCGGAACUGACGCUCAAGUGCGAAAGCGUGGGGAGCAAAC
This 400-nucleotide ribosomal RNA is filed under the name uncultured bacterium. Its description in RNAcentral is "bacterial SSU rRNA". It matches the Rfam family "Bacterial small subunit ribosomal RNA", at positions 356 to 773 of the family's 1533-position model. The record is from RNAcentral.